AGAUUUAACCUCUUUCAGUUUGUGGAUAUUUAUUAGUUUGAGAGUACAAUUCUGAUUUUUUUUUUUUAUCUACUUGUGUACUUUAAGUAUUGGAUUAUAAAUCCUUUUUCUUAAUAUAUUAACAUCUAGUUAAUUCAGCGUGGUUUUACUUUAAGCUUGUUAGUGAAAUAUUGAAAAUCUAGCUUAGUAUAAAGCCAUAAGAAGCACCCAGCAUCCUUAUCACUUGUCUUUUUUUUUUCAUGGAUAAAGUUCCUUUCAUUUGUCAAAACCAUUGUUAUUUUUUUGGAAAAGCAUGUUCCAAGUGAAGUUUGUUUUCUAGCUGAAAAAAAAAAUUACUGCUUAUUGAUCUGUGUUAGCCUUAGAAAGCACUAAUUUCUAAGUGCUUAUUUUAUUUUGUAUUAGCUCAGUUCUGUGAGUAGUGGGUCUCAUUGCUGGAAAGUGGGGAACCAAACAAGAAAUUUUUUUGAAAGGGAGUACACAGAUCUGUGUGUUAUAUGGUAUCAAGAUUAGUAGGAUUCUAUUAAUAUUUCAUUAAAUAGAGAGGUGGGAGAAAGAUUGCUGUACCAGCUACCACUGAAUAAGCAAUAAGAUAAUAUGAUCAGGAAUCUGCACCCCAGAGGUGUUAAGGACACCUGAAACUUCUGCUGAAGUGGCUAAUUAAAUAAUGAAGUUGUAGAAAUACAGCUAACAGCUGGAAAAGUAAAAGUAGCAGUUACUAGGAGGUGUUCCUCUGCUACUAACUCGUGGAUUCCCUUAACAGCUGAGUUGAUUUCUUCAAACAGGUCAAUCUCACCUUUCAUAAGUCACGCUGUUAUCUGGCAUUUUAUAGAAGUCAUGUAGUGAUGAUGUUAAAGAAAAAGACAAAUUUACUGCCUGAGCCAGAAGGCAGGCUUACAAAAAGCAACUUCUUUCAGGACACGAAAAGCUCUUUGUUCUGUGGCCUUGGUCUUUUUGUGCUUUGACCCUUAUUUUAUAGCAUUGUCACUCUGACCUUAAAUCUUUGAAAGCAGACAAGCAGCAAAUUUAGCCCUUUACAAGUGGGGUUUCAUUCUGAGCUAUGGGCCUGGUUUUUAUCUUCAGGCAUUAUAGUCCCAUACAAUACUGAGAUGUAACAAAAUCUCAAUUUAAGAUUUGUGGUUUGGCAUACUGUAAAUAGUUAUUAUUUUUAUAUAAGGCAAUUAAAAAAAAAUGUUGCUCUGUUACUGGCCUAUGGUUUGUAAUUAUUCACCAAUUUGAGAUAAGACAGCAACUAGGAAGACAGUCUGGCUAAUACUGACCAAUAUAUUUUUCACUUUCCUAGAAGUACUUUGGAAAUUGAUCCUAUGCACAGACCACCAGGGUUUCUGCACAAAUGACUUGAAUAUUCCAUUGAGGACAAGAAAUGCUUUGCUAUAUAUUCUAGAGUUAGAAGAUUAAAACAACAGUACUUGCAUGGCCUUCUUUCAUAAAAGGCUGUGCCAACUUAGGGGAGCACAAAAUUUUAUACAAGAACUGCAGUCUUAAACAGCAAUUAAAAAUCUCACUGUUCCUUCAGGAGAAGAGCAAUCAAGUUCCAGUACAUAUUUUUUUCAAAGAGCAUUCCUGACUUGUAUAUGUGAGCUGCUUCUGUGGAAUUUCACUUUUGCAUCUUUUGUCUAGCUGUCUCUCAUCCACAGAUUUAAGACACAAGGAUGGAGCACAGUUUCUUCAGGGGGGAGACCAACUGUCAGAGCACACGUUUACAGUAUAGGUUUAUUUUGACUUAGCACUCCUGCUUUAAUUCACCAUGAUAGCCCUGUUAAUUUGCAGAAGUUGUUUGUCGUGACCUGACUAGAAGGCUUAUUGCAGUGGAGUGGCAUGCUUGGUUCCAUGCUGUGAGAAUCUUUCAUUGAGAUGAUUGAAGUUGCUGCAAUGAGAAUGAAAAUUACUUGGGCUCCUUUCCUUUUAAAAGCUGUAUGCGAGAACUGUGUGGUGAGUCAAAUGUAGACUAAUGGUUAUGUAAAUGUCACUAAUUUUAGAUACAGAUCUGAAAGUGUGUUUCCUUUUAAGAUUUUAUUUUCUUCACUAUCAUGACUCAGUAUCACUUGCUAAUCUAAUUUUAUUAGCCCUGUUGUAUUUCACCAUUUAAAAUACACAUACCUAUUCAAAUAGGUGAUCACAGAGUCAAGCUAAUAUAUCAUAUAGAUGUUUUAAAAGGAGGAAAAUAAGCUUAUCUGCACUCCAGAUUUGUUUUGAUUUUAGCCUUCACAGAACUGCUACUGGGGCAGUUGCACAGGUACAAACAUGAUGUAGAUGAGUAUGAAUCCAAGUUGUUAUAAUUCAUCAGUUGGCAUUAUUUGACCAUAUUUCAGAAUUUCAGAUUGGUAAAAAUCACACUCUCAUUUUCUACUACUGCUAUGAAUUUGAACUGGCAAAAUUACUAACAGCUAAAAUUUCCAAUUUAGUUCAGACCUCAGCAGUUCUCAACAGCACAGCUAUGCAGAAUUAGAUAGCCUGCAGUUUUUCAUGAAGAACAUUUGUGUGCACAUUUACCUACUACAUUUCUCUUAAGAUACAUGACCAAAAUGAGGUUGACUACUUAAAAAAAAAUCCUAUCUGGCUCAAAGUUGGAUAGCUUUCUCAUUGACUUUAUUUAGGUAGCACUAUGUAACUGCUAAGUAUUGAAGACCUGCACAUACACUUCAGCCAACUGAAGACUUAGAAAUGCUUGGAAAGACCUUAAAGGUCUCUGCUUUUUUUCAUCAUGCUGCAGACUAGUGCUUCAAGGAGGCCCAUCCAUCCAGUUGCUCUUGCAGAUCUAGUAUUUUAAUGUACCCAGGAUUUUUCCCAGAGACUUCCAUGAGUAGAUGUGAAUCUAAAGAGCUCAGAGACUUGAGAGUGUGCAACAAAUUGCUCUAUUUGCAUGGCUUUGUCAAAGUCCAGUGGCCAAACUGUUCCUGACUACUUCAUUGUGCUCAUGUUGGCCUUUGUGUGAAGAGUGAAAAAGACUGUGCUUCCUUCUGGUUCACCAUGCAAACUCCUAUCACUGGCACAAGGGCAGGAAAUAGCAGGGAGCAGGAAGAAGCAGAAGGGCAAAGGUUGGAGCGCCUUGUUCGGUGGCCCUAGCAGCAUAGAAUAGUUCAGUGACAUGGUGAAAACACAGUUUGAGCGUUUGCAGAACCAGAGUUCAGCUGAGGAACCAAAGUUCCUGUCUGGAUAUGAAAACUGCUUCAAGUGCUUAUGAAGGCCUACUCAAAUUAUUCCGUUUCUAAACCUUUGAAAAGGAUGUUACAUUUCUCACGUGUUUCACAGGUGGCUUAAUAUUAGUUAUAUUUUCCAGAGGUUUGCCUGUAUGGGUGGUGCCAGAGACUGUGGCUGGAUCAAAUUCACUUCAUGUUGCAGCUCUGGGGUCCUAAGGACUGUGCCUGAUGUAAGAAAGAAAGGCUCACUGUUUUCAGUUCAGGCGUUUAUUUUCUGCUAGGCUUAGGAACUGUAUGGGAAAAAGAUGUUUAAUUUACAUAAAAAGGCAAGAAGAGAUAGGCCUGCUUGAAAAUAAACUGAGCUAAUAGCUGUAUAUGAGUGAAGAGAGCUAGUCUAAAAGUGCAAUGUUAAAAGGUUGGCUGAGAACAGAUACAGGAAGGACAGAUCUGAUGAACUGGAAAAUCAGAAGGAUUGAAAUACAUUGGGCAAAGAUUUGGGGGUGGGUUUGUUUAUUGAAAUUGGAAGAAGCAGCAGCCUGACAGAGGGGAUCUGGCUUGAGGCAAAGAGAACAAGUCAGGCUUAGGGAAAGAGGCUUGCACCCUUAGACGAUUCCUAACAUUUCACUGGCGCACUCUGCACUUCACAUCCAGAAGGGAAUACAGACUGUCAAGUAGCAGCUUUUGCUCUCAUAUGGGAAAUCACGCCCCCCCCCCCGUUGUAUUCCACAGAGAAGAGAGUAAGCCUAUUAGUACCCUCAGCUACUUCAUGAAUUUUGGUCCUGAAAAGAAAUCUCCAAGUAAGAGUAGUUGAGGUUGUCAGGGAGAUCUCUAGUUCAAACUGAGUAGUUUCUUUAAGGCUAUGUCCAGUCAAUUUUGAAUAUAUUCAAGGAUGGAGACUCUGCAGCCUGUUCUGUUCAGCUGGACUUUCAUGCACUUCAUUUCUUACCCAUGGCCUCUUGUCCUGUUUCUGGACAGAGAAGAGCCUGGCUAUGUCUUCUUUACUCUGCCGUGCCCCCACCAGCAGGCAUUUCGAAACAUUGCUGAGAUCACACAAACACAAGCCCUUUCUUCUCCAGGCUGGAGUCUCAGCUCACUCAGCCUUUCUUCAUGUGAAAGAUUCUUCAGUUCUCUCAUCGUCUUUGUGGAAGUACAUAAAAUGCUUCAUCUAAUAAGGGGAAUUAGAAGUCAAAGGAGGAAAUGUUUUUUGAGGGGGAAAAAAAACAAAGCACAAGAUAAUAACUGUAAAAAGAACAAGAAGAUCACAAAAUGAAACAUUAAGAAGUUAGAUAACUCCUGCUUUAGGAUUCUGCAAUCUUCAUUUGCCCCCUUGUGUCAGUAUACCAUGAAGCAAUCUUCAUGAUCACACAGAAUGUUUAAUCUAUUGGUAUGUGGUGUUUAUUUUUCUGCCUUUGUUCUUGCGUGAUGCUGGACAAGUAACCAGGCCAUUGUUUCUGAAGCACGUAUAUCGUGCUUUACUUUAGAGGUGUCUGAUUUAGGACUCACAUCUGAAAAAAACACUGCUGGUUCACAUUGAGCUUCUUAGGAGUUGUCAUUUGAAUUAAAAUGCUCUGUGAAGUUAUGUCUGCUGACAGUCUCCUCUCUUUUUAAAGAGAGCUUCAAACUGUUGCAUACUAUAACGUUUCUACACCUCAGUAUCACAUUUAAAGUAGGUAAUGGACACAUGCCUUGAAGGCCUGUUUUACCUACUUUUGUUUAGUAGCUGUACUACAGUAAUGCCUCAUGGAAUUUUCUAUGGCAUUUAUUAAUUCUGAUUUCAGAGGAAGAGGUGAGUACUGUGCAUCUUUUAAGGACCAGAUCUGCAAUCAACUUUCCUUGUUACCAGCUCAGGCUGGGAAGCAGAGUUUCUGUGCUGUUUGUUCAUGGUCUAUUUCUGCAGUCCUGUGAACUCCAAAAUACUCAGAUUUGUGUCCUGUCUUUUCACUGAUUCAUUUUGCAAAUAUAACUCAUUAUUAAACGCCUGUGUGUGCCAUUUUUUGCUUGUCAUUUUUUUUAAGUAACAUCAUCAACAUUGUGCAAAAUGUUCUAUGUAGUGAAGGUAUACACGUUUGAACUUCAGCAUAUUUGAUAAUAAAUUUACCUGUGGAGAUCUAUUUUACAGAAAGAAUGAGCUAUUUAAAUUGCAACAAUUUCUUAAUGUACAGUGGUAAGACUGCAUCUCCAAAAAUAUGAAGUUACUUAUACCUAAGUAUUUAGGACUUCUACCACCAUUUUCUUCAAAAUGUGCCUAUGGCACACUUUGGUAAAUGAGAGUUGUCUGUAUUAGAAAUUUGGAUACAGUGAUCUGAAGAUGUUUCAGCUUUUCCCUUAGUCAUGGUAUCUUGAGUAUUGGAGAAAAUCUCUUCUAACCAGGUAGCAACAUUAGCAGUAGUAGUUGAAUUGAAGUGUUUAGACUCCCUUUAUCUUCAUUGUAACCUAUUGUCACAGAAGUCAAAAGAAAUUAUAGAAAUGUGCCCAAAGUGGUGAGCUCUAUUGUACCAGUUUAACAGCAGCAGCAAUUCUUCAUGUAAAACACAAACAAAACAUUUAAAAUGUAUUUGAAGGAAAACUUAUGUCUGAGAUAUCUGUGAAUCUCCUUGCCAAGGUGGCAGUUGUAAGUGUAUCGAAAUAAAAUAUUUAAAUAUAAAGAGAAAUGAGAAAAAGUGCUGGAAAAAUGCAAUGGCAUGAGUGACAUUACUCAUCUUUCUGUGAGGGGAUAAUAAUCAUCGGAGUACUUAUUUUUCACUCUAAAUAGUUUAUUUCUGUUAGAAACUAUUUAAUGGUCGUCAGGUGCAAUUCUUUUUUUUUCCCCAUGUUUUAUUCACUUAUAAUUAAUAGCUCUGUAUUUGUUAAUAAAUAAAAUUAAAUUUCUUAUAUUGCUUCUGCCUCUUAAUGUAAGAUUUGAACUUUUAUGUUCAAAAGUUCUGAAAUUACAUUAAUUAUAGCAGCAUUUAUCUACUUUGGAUCUUCAGUCUAAAGUAUACAGUGCAUAGUAGGUGAAGGCUUAGUUUCUCUUGAGAGAUAGGAAUAAUAUAUCCAUAGUGUUUUCUUCUGCUCUUUAUAGCCAUAGGAGUCAGACAUGGAUAGAAAGCUUCUGAUUUCCCUAUGUUUCUGCGGGGUGAGUAUGUGGCUUUAUUGCCCAUAAAAGAACCUUCUGUUAGCAGGUUUUAUACUUUUAAGUGGUUUUAAAAGUAAAACAUUUUGGAAUUUCUCAACAAAUACUAAAAAAACCCUUAAGUAUUAUAAAAUUUGAAGUACAUAAGGCAUAAAUUAUAGCAUAGAAAGUCUCAAAUGUAUAAAUUUUUUAUGUUUUAUUGAAAUAAAGGUAAAGGAAGAGCUUCAGGGGUGUUAUAUUAUUUGACUAGCUAGAAUAAUCAAUAAGAUAAGACUAUGGUUCUAGAGCCUUGUGAUUCCUGAAGCCAGACAAGUUUGGGAACAAGUUUUCUUGUUUCCUUCACUAUUACCCUGGCUCUCGUAUGUCUUUGGUGGUUUCACUGAAUGACUUUAGGUUAGUUUUUGGUAAGCUCAGCCAGCUGAAUGUGCUUGCUGUAACAGUGCCAGCACCGAGGAAAGUACCCUUCACUCUUGAGACUGGCACUCCAGUUUUAAAGUCCAUUUCCAUUGUUUAAAUCACUGUAAGGAAUAUUCAGGGCCUAAUUCUUCCUUUCUUGACACUACUACAGACAGACUUUGCCUAUCUAUCUGCUCUUUAAAUCAAUAUCAAAUCUAAAAACAUUUUGGUUUAUCUCUUUUCUUGUACAGAAGAUUAGUAUCAACAUACGAAACCAGCACAAAAGUGCUCAUAUAGAUAUAGCAUCUUAGGCAUAUCACAGCUGCUUCCAGAUGCUUUCCUAUUAUCAAGACAAUGUGAGAGCCUCCCCCUUUUCCAAAAAGCAAUAUGUUGUUGCAGACACAUCAAUAAAUACACUAUAGCUAUAUUAUCCAUCUAUAAUGGAACUUCCAGAUGAAAAAUAUGAAAUUUCCAAUACUACGAGACAAAGAUGCACAAGAACUCAAAUGUUUUGGAGGUAUGAAAUGUGUUAAAUGACUUGUUCUUCAACGAAUUUUAGGAAAUGUGCAUGAAUGGUAGGUUGCACAGUGAGGAAAAGGAUUUCACUGCAGAUUUGAUAACAUCGUGUAGCCAGACAGCCCCCUGUUGGUUGUAUUGCUGUGGAGAUUCUAGAAAGGAGUUGUGCUUGAAUUCAGCUGUUCAUUGUACUCAACAAGCAAUUUUUUUUCGAUCCCAUAUCACAAAUAGAGUAAGUGGAGAGAGAAGAAAAAUGUGUGUGCUUGAAAAAAACUGCCUUUGAAUCAAGUAUUAUCUUUUAUGUAGAAAAAAAUGUUAAAGCUUGGUUAGAAUGCCUGCACACAGUUUCUUAAUGCCUUUAUAGAAAUUUAUUUCUAAAUUGCUGUAGUAAAAAUGUAGAACAGUAUUUUGUCCUUGUGAUAAAAUUUAAGACUAGCAUGCUUUAAUAUCACAUUCACAGCCUGACUAAGGCAAAGUAUUUAGAUCUAGUUCUGUCAAGAAUGCAGGGGUUUAAAACACAAAAGUUUUUAAGCUGGCAGUGAACUAACCAGGUACAGACUUAUUUAAUGACUGAGACUCUCUUGCAGGCACAUCUAUGAGAGCUUCUAUUUAACAAGGUACAGUUUUACCAAGAAUCUUUGGUGUUUUUAAUCACAUUUGCUUGGCUUUAAGAUGUUUUUGUUUGUGUUUUAAGUUGCUACCAAUGCAACUAGCAGCAUACUUCUAGGUUUUUUUCUCAUGUAUUGAGAAACUGAAGAAAUUCUUAUUCAAAAUGAAAUUAAUGUUUCCUGCUGACAAUUGCAGGACUCUUAUUAGGCAUCUUUGGUGUUUUGGCUUUUUUUUUCCCCAAAGAGUUUGUAAAGAGAACCUAAAAUCUCCCUUGUCACUGUAUAUCCUUGUAGUGAUGGAAUGCUGUAGGUUCUAUAUGAAAUAUAGUACUGGGUGAUACGAGGAUUCUAGAAAGAACUCUGUCACAGAGGUACAGGAUUUUCUGCUCUAAGAUAAUACAGAAGUUCUCUCUUUUUGCAUCAGGUAUGGCCAAGGUUAUAACAGCUCAUCUUCAUUUAAGGAAUUGGAUUUGUGUCUGAAAAUCCAUAGCUGCAACAGUGCUAGAGAAACUGAUGUGUUAAUUAGUUUUCUACUGCAGCACAGAAGACUAGCAUGAUGCCAAGAAAGCCAGAGUGCUGGAGGACUUUUUCUCACUCCUAGAACACAUUAAAAAAUCAGGGAUCAGAUGUCUUGGAAAAGCUGGCAGAAAUAUGACGGUAAGGCUACAUGCUAUAAUUGAAAAGGGGGAAUGGGAAAGAUGGGGACAGAACAAAGAGCUGGUUAAAAUUGUCAUGACUUGCUAAAAUCCCUCAGAAGAGUUUUAAGAAACUAGCUGAAACAAUCCCAAGGCAAGGGGACUCUUCCACAAAACAAAAAACCUGGGUUUCAGAAGCCUGAGGAGAUUCAAGUUCACAUCUCCUGCUUCUGAAAAAAUACCCAGUGGAAGUUGCCCACAGAUGUUCCCCAUCUUUCCUGUUAAAUCAAGGAUAUGUGCAAAAAAGUCACAUAACUAUUUUGUUCAAAGGUUGUUGGCAGUGAUAACUAUUGCUGUUAGCAGAUGAAAGCAAGCUGCAGGUAGGAUUUCAAAGGGUAGUGGAAUUUGCUUUUAUUGGACUAACUGCAGUUCCUUGCAUGUUCCAUAUUCUUUUCCUAAGAUGUUUCCUGAAGUAAUGGUAAAGUCAGCAUACAAUAAAUAUGAGUACCCAUUAAAGCACACUAAAGGAAUACCUUAUGUUUCCAGUAGAUGAACACUGAGAUAAUGAAGUAUUUGUAAAUUACAUCACAGUCCUCUAUUAUGCCAAAUUCUUGAUUUUAUUGCUGAAGAGAGCACCAGUAAAGGUGGCUUUAAACUUUAUUCUCUUAUAUUCUCUAAAUCUGCUGAAGAUGGAAAGCAGGGAGUAGCAUUGAAGAAUUUCAUGGCUGUUCAGCAGCCAGCAAGGGGACUCAUCUCUUCCCUUCUGCAAUCUACCCCCAAACUGCUUUCUUUCUGUGUUUGAAGCAGCUUUUUGAGUCUUUGGGUUUCAGAGUUUUUAUUUUAGUUUGUGUUUUCUUUACAGGAGAGUUUACAUCCCCUCACCAUAAAUUAGCAGCAUAGGUAAGAGCCUGUUCUAGAUUGAUGAAGAUUCAAAUAACUUACCCUGUUCAGAAAAAUUGAAAUAUUCUUCCUCCUCUUCCCAAAUUAGGUUUGAACUUCCGGACUUCCUCAUGGUUCUUGAAGUAUGUUUAAUUUUUAGUUUGUUUAAGUAAUUCUAGCCACUUAGAACAUACAUAUAACUUUCAGAGCUGUUAUAUUGUGAUCCCAUUAUUUUAUGCUUAUUCAGACAUAAAGUAAGUAGCCUGAGAAAAGCAUUACCUUUUGCUAUGAGUGUAUCUCACUUUCCUCUGGAAUUACAGUUUGUGAACAAUUGUCCAGAGCAGUGGACAUUUUUAAUUGUAAUUGACAGAAUCCUAAUUUUAUUUCUAGUUUUUCCUUCUGUACUGUAGGAUCUUUUAAAAACAGCACCUGGUUCUGGUGAUUUAUGGUGUUUGAGUUUCUCAGGCUUCCAAUAGGCUUUUCUUUUGAGACAUCUAGGCCUGGGGAAACUACUGUGAAUCCCCAUAAGGCACAUCCUUGAGACAGGAAUUUCUCUGUCAUCCUUCAUGUUAAAACCAAAUAAUUUAUAUAAAACUUCUUUACCUGUGACACCUUCUUUCAUCUGCCUCUGGAUAUUACAUAGACAAAACUAAAAAAUAUCCUCCUGAAUUCUGACAUCUUUAAGAAUACUUGUAAUUCUUCUGUGUGUGUGUGUGUUGUGCAUUGAUACACAACAUGCAGCCUUUGGUACCCAUGAAUACCAAUAGAGCAGAACAUUUUUCAUCAGAACCUGUGAAAGCAAUAACUGCAUUUCUUUGUGCAAGUGCAGUGUUAAACCAUCCCCUCAUUCAUUAGCCAGUGAUAGUAAUUUUAUUUUUCACUAAUCUUCAUUAGUUUUUCUUACUUUACUUUCUUACUUGUUUAUAUUAACACUUCAAUAAGUGUUAAGAUGUGGUUUAGUUAAGAAACCGUAGCAUCUCUAGUUUGUUUGCUUUGGUUUUUUUUUUUUGCUUUGGUUGGAGAAAUUGCUUCAGCCUAGGAAGAUUUCCAUGUCUGGGCAUACUCCAUGAAUGAGCAUGACCUCCCUAGCAUUCAAACAUUUGCUGUGUAAUAUUGUGGUGUCAUUAAAGACUGUCUACAUAAGAUACACUUUGAGUUGAUGAGCAUCACAUGUAUCUUCUAAGAAGGCUGAGCAAGCGAAACAUCUUGCCUCAAGAUGUCACAAGUGAUACAGGCACCUGGCCUCUGGUUCUAGUUUGUCUGAGCAGAAACACUUGAGAAAGACCAGAGCUCUUUUGCUUUUCUAACUUCUUGUCCUAGGCUGUCAGCAAGUCUCCUAAUAUGGCUAGACCUUGAUUAGAUGGAGAAAAGGAACAGAACAGUUGCAAAACAGAUCCUGAUUUUAUCCUACAUAAAUUCUUCUGAAGCACAGUUCAGACCUGGGAACACCAGGCAGUCCAAUCACACAGAGCUGGAAUUUUCAUGAUACAGUGGUCUACAGUUCUUGGAUUCCUUGGCAGCCAUAAUUCUAGAGAAAUUAUCAGUAACAAUGUGGCACCAAAAUUAUAGCAAGGUUGAAUCACUUUUGAAUCCUUGAGCUUCAUCAGAGAAAUCAAGCUCCUCACUGUCAAAUCAGGCUCAGAAUCGCCCCUCAUAAACUUAAUGGGUGUCUGGCCUUCAGUAUUGAUUCAAGCAUUCUCUACUCUGCUGGUAGUUAGAGAUCAUUUUUUAUAACCUUUCAGCAUCCUGUAGGACUAGUUCCAUAUAAAAUACUCCUGUGCUUAGUCAGAACCAGAAGACUGAAAGGUUCUGUACAGUUCUGUUUAGCUGGACAUCCUACACCAGUAGAAGUAGGUGUGGUUCAGAGAUGGGAACUUCCUGUAUUUUUCAGCAUCUCACAGAUUCAGAAGCAUUAAGGUUGGAAAAGACCUCCAGGAUCUCUAGUCCAACCAUUAACCCAGCACCACCAUGCUUGCCACUAAACCAUAUCCCCAUGUGCCACACCCACAUGCCUUUCGAGCUUUCCAAGGGAUGGUGAUUUCAUCACCUCCCUGGGCAAUCUGUUCUAAUGCCUAACCGCCUUUUCAGUGAAGAAAGUUUUCCUACUAUCCAACCUAAACCUACACUAGCACAACUUGAGGCCAUUUCCUCUCAUCUUGUCACUUGUUAUCUGGGAGAAAAGACGACACCCUGGGAGACUGACUGACACUGUGCUACAACAUCCAUUUAGGUAAUUGCAGAGAACUUGUUUGUUGUUCCAGGUAGCAAGUGACAGGAUGAGAAGAAAUAGUCUCAAACUGUACAAGGUGAGGUUUAGUUUGGACAUUAGGAGGAAUCUCUUCUCAGAUAGGGUGAUUAGAUAUUGGAAUGGGCUGCCCAGGGCAGUGGUGGAGUCACCAUCCCUGGAGUUGUUUAUGAAAAGAUUGGAUGUGGCACUUGGUGCCGUGGUCCAGUUGACAAGGUGGUGUUCAGUUGGUCAUGGACCUCUGGAUUUGAUCUCAGAGGUCUUUCCCAAGCUAAUUGACUCUGUGAAAGCUGCUUCCAAUGACGGCAAAUAUUGACACCUAGAGCAAAAAGGUGCUGAAGUUUGAUCUCUGCUGCAGAAAGAAUUACCUUCUGAAAAUGAGGGUCUCUAGAGUAUUAUUAGUUAAUAUUGCAAAUGCUAAUUUGAAAUGGUAAGCAUUGUUACAGACAUCUGGAAAGGAAUUUAGAUAUGGUGCAGUAGUGACAUUUCCAGAGACAGACAUCUUGAUAAAGAGUAUUUAUGAGUUUUCUGAAGCAAAUGACCUAUUCAAUGCUUUGCAUUCUCUUUGUGUAGACAGGGUUGUACACACUUUUCUUAGAUUCUCAAGACAAGUAAAUACCAGUUGCCAACUACAGGCAUCACAAGACCAUAGGCUUUCCAACCCUGCAGGCCUACAUGCUCUCCAGCAAAGCAGCACAAGACUUAAAUAGGAAAAAAAAAAAAGAAGACAACUUCCUUGUAUAUUGUAAUUCACCUGCUUCUUUCAUCCACAUGGAAGUGUGACUGUUUGCACCAGAACAUUUGGAAUAUUUUUAAAGCUGUACCUCUUCCUUUCAAGCACUGAAAUGGUUUUUUAAUGUGUUAAAGCCUACCAACUGUCACAGAGAUUUGUGUAUUCUAUUUUAGUCACUCAUUGACUCCUUUUGGUCACAAGGUGUUUUAGAUCAUUGGUAGCACUGCUUCUUUUCCUGUGGAAGAGAGAUUCCCUUUUUAUUUCUCAAAAAGGGAUGGGGAAAUAUGGUAUUGAGCCCAUCCCAAUUCCAGUACAAUAUUCGCUUAGGCUGUCCCAGAUCUCAAGAAAUGUAAAUAUGUACAGCUGAAAGAUUGGAUACAGAGAAAUGUUUUCAGCCAGCAGUUUAUCACUACCAAGUUAGAAAGCCCUGAGAGCUCUGAGCUUUCGAAACAGUUAUUUCCACACUGUUACCCACCCUGCCUGAAGGAACUCUGUGGUCUUUCUAGCAGGCGUCAUUGCCUCCAGUAUAAAACCUGCGUGCUUGUCACUGCCUGUUUCAGAACAAAAACCCACAUAUGCAUGCAUGUCCUGAACAUUCCCUAAGUGAUCUAAGAACUGUCAUCACAUCCUUCACUCAUGGCUUUGUCUUGCUCCUGAGGGUAGACAAGAAGUCAGCAUAGAUCCCUGCACAGAACAGAGAUGAUCCAAACCAUAGCAGUCUGAUGUUCCAUUAGCUUUCUGUGACUUCCCAUAACAUUCAGCUUUUCUAUUCAGUCUCGGAGCCUGCCUCAGAAGUUUAUUGAGAGCAUGGAUCAUGGGUCAGAGGGUGGUGAGGCACUGGCACAGGUUUCCCAGAGAAGCUGUGGAAGCCCCAUCCCUGGAAUUGUUCAAGAGCAGGUUGAACAGGACUUGAAGCAACCUGGUGUAGGGGAAGGUGUCCCUGUCCAUGGCAGAGGAGCUGGAACCAGAUAGUAUUUAAGUUCCUUCCAACCCAAGCUAUUCUGUCAUUCUAGGAGUCAGCCUUUCAAUAGCUUAGCACAAGACACUGUUAUAGCACAGCUUAUGAGGGCAAACUAUAGCCAAAAGAGGAGUUGCUCAGAUGUUCCUGUGCCUGCUUGGGCGUUUUCCAGCAGGGAGUGUCCAAAACAUGAAUCUUGCAAAAAGAUGAUUGCCCCUCAUUUUUCCAACAUGUAUUUGUAGAGAUUUUGGGACUGUAUAUCAACAAUGAAGUCUAGAUUGCACUAUCACACUUUAAUUGUCAAAGAAAUCUUAUAAAAUAGAAGCAGAAAGCAGUUUUAGCCUAACCAAUGAUAGAAGAAGCUUCUGUUACAUCAGCGACCAUGCAGGUACAAUGUUUCCCUUACAUUCUUGACAUGGCCAUAUUUAAGCUAUUAAAGUGUCCUGGAGAUCCAUGGUUUACUGAGCCAUCUUGAGAAGAUUAAUAUUUUGAACAACUAUACGUAGCAAAUGAAUAUUAUAUGGCUUAAGGAUAGAAUUUCCAAUGGAGAAAACAAAAGGUAAACCAGUCUGUUCCAGGAAAUACCUUUCCAGUUUAUGGAAAACUAGCAACUUAGUGACAGGGUUAGUGCUCAUUGUAGUGCAACUGGCAUUGAAACAAAGGCCACCAACAGGACAUAUCCAGGAAAUAUUCAGUAGGCUUAUCACCCCAGCACAACCAAAACAGUGAUGUUAUUCUGAUCUUCAAAGUUUAUCUAUUUGACCUCCAAAAUCUUAGUUUUUGUUUCCAGGUGUGAGGUAUCAACAUGACUAAUCCAUCUGAUGCCUGGAUCCUGCAAUGUUUCAUUUCACAGCACAUUUGCAGAAAUUACCUCCUAAAGAGAAAUUUUCUUCUUCAGGUAUGCAAACUAUUACUGGAAGAUAUUCUAUAGAUGCAUUAACCUAACACAUUGGAAAAAAAUAAAACAUCUCUGUAGUCUCAUGAACA
Molecule: long non-coding RNA, 14227 nt
Organism: Passer domesticus (house sparrow)
Lineage: Eukaryota; Metazoa; Chordata; Aves; Passeriformes; Passeridae
Exons: 6
Source: RefSeq, a predicted model, not a curated record